RNAcentral lists this ribosomal RNA (497 nucleotides) under uncultured bacterium. RNAcentral's name for it is "partial 16S ribosomal RNA". It matches the Rfam family "Bacterial small subunit ribosomal RNA", at positions 28 to 507 of the family's 1533-position model. The record is from RNAcentral.
GAUGAACGCUGGCGGCGUGCCUAAUACAUGCAAGUCGAGCGAACAGACGAGGAGCUUGCUCCUCUGACGUUAGCGGCGGACGGGUGAGUAACACGUGGAUAACCUACCUAUAAGACUGGGAUAACUUCGGGAAACCGGAGCUAAUACCGGAUAAUAUAUUGAACCGCAUGGUUCAAUAGUGAAAGACGGUUUUGCUGUCACUUAUAGAUGGAUCCGCGCCGCAUUAGCUAGUUGGUAAGGUAACGGCUUACCAAGGCGACGAUGCGUAGCCGACCUGAGAGGGUGAUCGGCCACAAUGGAACUGAGACACGGUACAGACUCCUAAGGGAGGCAGCAGUAGGGAAUCUUCCGCAAAGGGCGAAAGCCUGACGGAGCAACGCCGCGUGAGUGAUGAAGGUCUUCGGAUCGUAAAACUCUGUUAUUAGGGAAGAACAAAUGUGUAAGUAACUAUGCACGUCUUGACGGUACCUAAUCAGAAAGCCACGGCUAACUACGUG